AGCGUAGACGGUUCUGCAAGUCUGGUGUGAAAGCCCGGGGCUCAACCCCGGGACUGCAUUGGAAACUGUGGAACUAGAGUGCAGGAGAGGUAAGUGGAAUUCCUAGUGUAGCGGUGAAAUGCGUAGAUAUUAGGAGGAACACCAGUGGCGAAGGCGGCUUACUGGACUGUAACUGACGUUGAGGCUCGAAAGCGUGGGGAGCAAACA
This 207-nucleotide ribosomal RNA is filed under the name uncultured Lachnospiraceae bacterium. RNAcentral describes it as "partial 16S ribosomal RNA". It matches the Rfam family "Bacterial small subunit ribosomal RNA", at positions 568 to 774 of the family's 1533-position model. The record is from RNAcentral. Lineage: Bacteria; Bacillati; Bacillota; Clostridia; Lachnospirales; Lachnospiraceae.